Brassica napus (rape) is the source of this 1078-nucleotide long non-coding RNA. RefSeq lists it as uncharacterized. The transcript is spliced from 3 exons. The record is from RefSeq and is a predicted model, not a curated record. Lineage: Eukaryota; Viridiplantae; Streptophyta; Magnoliopsida; Brassicales; Brassicaceae.
AUCAGCAUCUCGGAAACCCAGUUCUGUUUCUUAAAUUUUUUUUAUUUUUAUUGUUUUAUCUGUUUAAAAAAAAAACCAAUCGCGGGCCGCCAUGUGUCGUAGGGCCCGCAAAACAGUGUAAAAACCUCACGUGUCGACAGGAAGCCACGUUUCUUCCCAUUUUGUAGGACCCAUCUCACAUUUCCCCCCUAAAAACCCUCCUAAAUACUUUCGAUAAAGAUGCUCUAACAAAAAUUUAGUAGUAUCUUAUAUAUAUAAAGUAGACUUGUGCUCUUCCCAUAGCCUUCCACGUCACCAAAGAGGAUGGGGCAUUUUUGAACAAGUCAGCGCUCAACCAAAAGCUCUUUUUUAACGUUUGUUUCUUCCUCAUCUUUGGGCUUUGUUUAAUAGCGGGCCAUGAAGACCUAAACUUUCAUCCUUUCUCAUCUCCGCUUCAUCUUCCUGGCACUGUUACGGAAAGCUAACCCUACUUCAUACCACCUCCAAAUCACCGGAACUUUAACGCCUCGUAUUGCCGUUCAGUUCAUGUAAUUAUGACUGUUAUUAACAACAUAGCACGUCUCAUUCAGUUUAAUCCUUCUUCCUCGAUGGUUCCUCAAUCUCUCCACCACAACAGCCUCACCUUUUCCUUCAUUCUCUCCCUCUCGCCAUAUUCUUCCGUCAACCAUCUGACGUAACACCAAAGCAGGACCUGUAACACCAGCAACCAAAGACUCUUGAUUUUACGGCCGCUUCAUCUUCUAUACAGCUGCGGCCAGGUCGUUCUGCUAAAUAAAAAAUUGGGGAAAGAUGGUCGUGUUUGUACCAAAACUGUGAAGAAAUCUUCAUGCAAGAACGAUGGGAACCGUACCAAAGAUGGGAUCCAGAUUGUGCUGAUGGGAACGAUAGUGGGAACGAAAAUCAGUGUGAAUGAACUUUCUCAAGGUAUUGAGUCAGAGAGAGCCUUAUUGCUUAGAAAAGGCGAGAAUCAUUUUGGGCCGUAACAGUAGCUAUUUCAAAACACUAAACACUGAUGGGAUUAGUUGGAAAAAUUAGUUUCAGAUUAGCAUUGUUGAUUAUGCAUACAUCACGCACUUUA